Molecule: transfer RNA, 87 nt
Filed under: Thermoleophilia bacterium
Lineage: Bacteria; Bacillati; Actinomycetota; Thermoleophilia
Description: tRNA-Leu
Rfam family: tRNA
About the family: Transfer RNA (tRNA) molecules are approximately 80 nucleotides in length.
Source: RNAcentral
GGGCGAGUGGCGGAAUUGGCAGACGCGCUAGGUUCAGGGUCUAGUGAGUGUAAGCUCAUGGGGGUUCAAGUCCCCCCUCGCCCACCA